UUAAAAGCUCGUAGUUGGAUUUCUGUCGAGGACGGUCGGUCCACACUUUGUGUGAGUAUCUGAUUCGGCCUUGGCAUCCUCCUGGGAACGUUUCUGCGCUUGAUUGCGUGGAGCGGAAUUCAGGACUUUUACUUUGAGGAAAUUAGAGUGUUCACGGCAGGCAAACGCCUUGAAUAUAUUAGCAUGGAAUAAUAAUAUAGGACCUUUGUUCUAUUUUGUUGGUUUCUAGAGCGAAGGUAAUGAUUAAUAGGGAUAAUUGGGGGGCAUUUGUAUUAACGCGUCAGAGGUGGAAUUCUUGGAUUGCGUUAUGACAAACUACUGCGAAAGCAUUUGCCAAGGAUGUUUUCAUUGAUCAAGGACGAAAGUUAGGGGAUCGAAGACGCUUAGAUACCGUCGUAGUCUUAACCAUAAACUAUGCCGACUAGAGAUUGGAGGUCGUUCUUUUUAUGACUCCUUCAGCACCUUAUGAGAAAUCAAAGUCUUUGGGUUCCGGGGGGAGUAUGGUCGCAAGGCUGAAACUUAAAGGAAUUGACGGAAGGGCACCACCAGGAGUGGAGCCUGCGGCUUAAUUUGACUCAACACGGGAAAACUUACCAGGUCCAGACAUAGUGAGGAUUGACAGAUUGAUAGCUCUU
Molecule: ribosomal RNA, 635 nt
Filed under: uncultured marine eukaryote
Lineage: Eukaryota
Description: SSU rRNA
Rfam family: Eukaryotic small subunit ribosomal RNA
Source: RNAcentral